RNAcentral lists this long non-coding RNA (1093 nucleotides) under Phascolarctos cinereus (koala). Its description in RNAcentral is "lncRNA (ENSPCIG00000032239.1)". The record is from RNAcentral. Lineage: Eukaryota; Metazoa; Chordata; Mammalia; Diprotodontia; Phascolarctidae.
AAAAAUAGUCUAUUUGUUGUUCCCUGAACUUGACAUUCCAUCUCUUGCUUCUUUGUUUUUGUACAGGCAAUCCUGCAUACUUGGAACAUACUUCUUUUCACCUCCACUUCUUAGAAUACUCCUCUUCUUUCCUUCCUGGGAGGAGGGACAUGGUGGCAAAAUCAGGAGAAUGAAGGACAGCUGGUGUUGGCCCUUCCACAAAAUGGAGGUUCCAGGAAGAAAUCACCAAAAGAAGAAGGAACUCACCAAAAACUCACCCAGGAGGGAUGGGGAAAAGCCACUGAAGCAUGGUGGCAAAAUUCAGAGUGAAAGAAGAGAGUGAAAACUCUGCAAGAAAACCAUCUACAAUAAGUCAGCUUCAUGUAGAUGGAACAGAACUGAACAUACAGCUACUCAUAUUCUUGGAGCAUUCAAAGAACAUCUCCACUGCUACUAUCUCCACAGAACCCAUUCUAGCGGCAUUGAACUCUUGAAUAUCUUGGACCUUCAUUUCACAGACUCCCUGGGCUUUUCCCUUCUUAUCACCAUUCAUAUGUACUCCCUGUACUGGUAUCUAUAGAUCACCUGCUGAAAAACUAAGGCUUGGAUUUGGCAGGCUCUCCUGUCCUAUGCCUGCCUCAUUGCUUAUUACCUUUGUUUGCCAUGCCUGACAUGAUAAACCAAUUCACUGGCCAAGAUUAUGACUCAGCAUCUUUGAAAUUCCACCCUACCCACUAGUUUGUAGCAGUGGCCAGGCCAGAAUGAUUGGUGACAUUUUCAGUGCUUCCAAACUUCAUUUCUCCCCUUUUGUAGUCCUUUUCCCACAAGAUGGAGGGAAUAAUGCCUUCCUUUCCUCAGGUAGGGCACCUUUCAAAGAUAUAGCACUGUGCCCCCAAAUAGUAGCCCCUGGGUUCUUACCAAAGACAGCCCCCUGCUGAAUGGUACCAAUAUAUCCAAAAGUUACUGUAUUUUGCCUUAAACUCAUUCUCUUACCCCUGAAAAUUUUCCUAUUUCUCUUGAGAGCACUAUCAUUUUAAUAACUCAGGAAUACAACCUUGGAAUUAGAUUUAAUUCUUCCUUCUCCCUCAACCCUUAUAUCUAAAUGGUUUCUAAG